Molecule: unclassified non-coding RNA, 394 nt
Filed under: soil metagenome
Description: partial internal transcribed spacer 1
Source: RNAcentral
CUAAAUAUACGUUUUUUUAAACGUGGUGGCUUGCAUCAAGUCCGUGCGGUCGACACCGUGAUGGCCAAUGUAAGAUCUUGUAUUCAGUCUAUACGGUCGACCCCGUGUUGGCAGAUGCAAGAAAUCUUGCGGAGAGUCCGGGCGGUCGUCCCCGUGAUGGCAAGAUGCAAGAAAUUACCAACACCUUGUGAAUGUUUCCACAAAUUUUGGCAGUCUCUCUUAUUUGAUGUGAUGGUUGUGUGAAGUUUCGAUGGAACACGUCUAUCUAGAACAUUCUAUAGGAGAGCGUGUGUGAGUUUCUCACCGGAACUCACUGCACCAUGGCUGCCAACAGUUGAAAAACCCCUUUCAUUUUUAUUUUUUCUGAAACCAAAAUAUGAGAAACAAUGAGAAA